GCCAGGUCUAGGGUAGAGGAAUUUGAUGUGGUACCCAGAGGUUCUAGGGAGGUAACUCUAGUCCCAAACUUCUCAGGGCAGAGCUAAGGUAAGCCAUGCCAGCAGUGAGGAAAGAUACCAGAUGUGAAAUGUGUUAGUGAUAAUUUUAUUGAAAAAUAGGGGAAGGUUCAAAGGAAAAAACAAAGAUCGCAUUCUGAAGUGAAAACAGGAGAAAAACAAGAAGUUGGAGGCAAGUUUUAGUAAGUAGUAAGAGGAGCUAUACUCAACUCAACUCAACUAAUCCUCUAUCCCAAAAAUUUGGGGACAACUACAUGGAUUCGCUUUCUCCACUUUAAACGAUUUUG
This 344-nucleotide unclassified non-coding RNA is filed under the name Hevea brasiliensis (rubber tree). Lineage: Eukaryota; Viridiplantae; Streptophyta; Magnoliopsida; Malpighiales; Euphorbiaceae. The record is from RNAcentral.